This 253-nucleotide ribosomal RNA is filed under the name uncultured bacterium. RNAcentral describes it as "partial 16S ribosomal RNA". It matches the Rfam family "Bacterial small subunit ribosomal RNA", at positions 524 to 776 of the family's 1533-position model. The record is from RNAcentral.
UACGUAGGGUGCAAGCGUUGUCCGGAAUUAUUGGGCGUAAAGAGCUCGUAGGCGGUUUGUCGCGUCUGCUGUGAAAAUCCAGGGCUUAACCCUGGACCUGCAGUGGGUACGGGCAGACUGGAGUGCGGUAGGGGAGAUCGGAAUUCCUGGUGUAGCGGUGAAAUGCGUAGAUAUGUGGAGGAACACCAAUGGCGAAGGCAGCCCCCUGGGUCAACACUGACGCUCAUGCACGAAAGCGUGGGGAGCAAACAGG